CGUAGGGACCAAGCGUUGUUCGGAUUUACUGGGCGUGAAGGGCGCGUAGGCGGCGCGGUAAGUCACUUGUGAAAUCUCUGAGCUUAACUCAGAACGGCCAAGUGAUACUGCAGUGCUAGAGUGUGGAAGGGGCAAUCGGAAUUCUUGGUGUAGCGGUGAAAUGCGUAGAUAUCAAGAGGAACACCUGAGGUGAAGACGGGUUGCUGGGCCAACACUGGCGCUGAGGCGCGAAAGCCAGGGGAGCAAACGGGAUUAGAUACCCCGGUAGUCCUGGCCCUAAACGAUGAAUACUUGGUGUCUGGAGUUUUAAUGCUCCGGGUGCCGUCGCUAACGUUUUUAGUAUUCCGCCUGGGGAGUACGCUCGCAAGAGUG
This 372-nucleotide ribosomal RNA is filed under the name uncultured organism. RNAcentral's name for it is "bacterial SSU rRNA". It matches the Rfam family "Bacterial small subunit ribosomal RNA", at positions 526 to 896 of the family's 1533-position model. The record is from RNAcentral.